Molecule: long non-coding RNA, 742 nt
Organism: Equus caballus (horse)
Lineage: Eukaryota; Metazoa; Chordata; Mammalia; Perissodactyla; Equidae
Source: Ensembl
AAAUUGAGCAUGCUAUCUUUGGAUCUGAGAUCUAGGUGUUCUCCUUUGUCUGGGCCUGGGGUAGUAACGUUGAGAAUGGCACUAUAGGUUGGUAUGAUGGGGAAAGGUAUAUGUCAAUGAAAAAAAUCAUUAGUACCAGGUGCAUUUUUUCACAAGUAAAUACAUGUAUUUUUAAAGUAAUGUAUUAAUUCAGCAGACAUACAAUGAACACCUACAAUGGACCAACACUGUGGGUGAUGACGUAAAAAUGAACAAGAUACAAUCUCUGACCUCAAGAUGUUCACAUACAACCUGUACACAAACAGUGUUUUUAAAAAUCCAGAAGAUGAAAUGUGCUAAAGUGAAUAAGCAAAAAAAAUGAAACAAGAGGUAUGAGCAGAAUACUUAGUAAUUUGAUGGAUGGCAAGAUGGCCCAUUGGAGAUCUCGGGGAAUAAAGGCUCUGUGUCUUUUCCCACAUAUCGCUCUGGUGAUGCUCUGGAGGGGUUUGAGCCGGGCUUGGAAGGACCUGGAGGUAUUAUUAACUGCAAAAGAAAAAUUUUUCUUCCUUAACGUAUUUCUGCAACCAAAAGAGAGUGAUGUCGCACAAAUCUUAGUAGCAUCUGAGAGAACCAUAAUCACAGUGGGCUCCAGGCAGCUGAACCCCUUGGAUUUCCUCACCCCCCGCCUGCCCUGACUGGUAAAGCUGCGUCCUCCCAGACUAUAGCUCCUGUGGGCUGGGCCCUCAUCUACAGCUCCAGCUCU